GAUGAACGCUGGCGGCGUACCUAAUACAUGCAAGUCGAGCGAACGGACGAGAAGCUUGCUUCUCUGAUGUUAGCGGCGGACGGGUGAGUAACACGUGGAUAACCUACCUAUAAGACUGGGAUAACUUCGGGAAACCGGAGCUAAUACCGGAUGAUAUUUUGAACCGCAUGGUUCAAAAGUGAAAGACGGUCUUGCUGUCACUUAUAGAUGGAUCCGCGCUGCAUUAGCUAGUUGGUAAGGUAACGGCUUACCAAGGCAACGAUGCAUAGCCGACCUGAGAGGGUGAUCGGCCACACUGGAACUGAGACACGGUCCAGACUCCUACGGGAGGCAGCAGUAGGGAAUCUUCCGCAAUGGGCGAGAGCCUGACGGAGCAACGCCGCGUGAGUGAUGAAGGUCUUCGGAUCGUAAAACUCUGUUAUUAGGGAAGAACAUAUGUGUAAGUAACUGUGCACAUCUUGACGGUACCUAAUCAGAAAGCCACGGCUAACUACGUG
This 497-nucleotide ribosomal RNA is filed under the name uncultured bacterium. RNAcentral describes it as "partial 16S ribosomal RNA". It matches the Rfam family "Bacterial small subunit ribosomal RNA", at positions 28 to 507 of the family's 1533-position model. The record is from RNAcentral.